Molecule: ribosomal RNA, 516 nt
Filed under: Triticum aestivum (bread wheat)
Lineage: Eukaryota; Viridiplantae; Streptophyta; Magnoliopsida; Poales; Poaceae
Description: partial small subunit ribosomal RNA
Source: RNAcentral
AUGAUUGACCAAUAUAAACAUCAACAACUUCAAAUUGGACUCGUUUCCCCUCAACAAAUAAAGGCUUGGGCUAACAAAAACCUACCUAAUGGAGAAGUCGUUGGCGAAGUCACAAGGCCCUCUACUUUUCAUUAUAAAACCGAUAAACCAGAAAAAGAUGGAUUGUUUUGCGAAAGAAUCUUUGGACCCAUAAAAAGCGGGAUUUGCGCUUGUGGCAAUUCUCGAGCGAGCGGAGCUGAAAACGAAGAUGAAAGAUUUUGCCAAAAAUGCGGGGUAGAAUAUGUGGAUUCUCGGAUACGAAGAUAUCAAAUGGGAUACAUCAAACUCGCAUGUCCCGUGACUCAUGUGUGGUAUUUGAAAGGUCUUCCUAGUUAUAUCGCGAAUCUUUUAGAUAAACCUCUUAAGAAGUUGGAGGGCCUAGUAUACGGCGAUUUCUCUUUUGCUAGGCCCAGCACUAAAAAAACCCACUUUUUUACGAUUACGAGGUUUAUUCGAAGAGGAAAUUGCAUCCUGUAA